This 229-nucleotide ribosomal RNA is filed under the name uncultured bacterium. RNAcentral's name for it is "partial 16S ribosomal RNA". It matches the Rfam family "Bacterial small subunit ribosomal RNA", at positions 16 to 235 of the family's 1533-position model. The record is from RNAcentral.
AAUAUGGCUCAGGAUGAACGCUAGCUACAGGCUUAACACAUGCAAGUCGAGGGGCGAGCAUGGUCUUAGCUUGCUAAGGCCGAUGGCGACCGGCGCACGGGUGAGUAACACGUAUCCAACCUGCCGUCUACUCUUGGACAGCCUUCUGAAAGGAAGAUUAAUACAAGAUGGCAUCAUGAGUCCGCAUGUUCACAUGAUUAAAGGUGUUCCGGUAGACGAUGGGGAUGCG